This 253-nucleotide ribosomal RNA is filed under the name uncultured bacterium. RNAcentral's name for it is "partial 16S ribosomal RNA". It matches the Rfam family "Bacterial small subunit ribosomal RNA", at positions 524 to 776 of the family's 1533-position model. The record is from RNAcentral.
UACGUAGGCAGCGAGUGUUGUUCGGAAUUACUGGGCGUAAAGAGUGUGUAGGCGGUGCUCCCAGUCUGUUGUGAAAUCUCCCGGCUUAACUGGGAGGGUGCAGCGGAAACUAGAGUGCUAGAGGGUGGGAGAGGUAAGCGGAAUUCCUGGUGUAGCGGUGAAAUGCUUAGAUAUGACAUAGAACACCAAUUGCGUAGGCAGCUUACUACACGAUCAUUGACGCUGAGGCACGAAAGCGUGGGGAGCAAACAGG